AGAAUCAACGCUGGCGGCGUGCCUAACACAUGCAAGUCGAACGAGAAGGUGGAGCAAUCCAUGAGUAAAGUGGCGCACGGGUGAGUAACACGUGACUAACCUACCCUUGAGUGGGGGAUAACCUAGAGAAAUCUGGGCUAAUACCGCAUAAUACCUUCGGGUCAAAGGAGCAAUUCGCUUAAGGAGGGGGUCGCGGCCGAUUAGUUAGUUGGCGGGGUAAUGGCCCACCAAGACUAUGAUCGGUA
Molecule: ribosomal RNA, 245 nt
Filed under: uncultured bacterium
Lineage: Bacteria
Description: partial small subunit ribosomal RNA
Rfam family: Bacterial small subunit ribosomal RNA
Source: RNAcentral